GACGAACGCUGGCGGCGUGCUUAACACAUGCAAGUCGAACGGUGAAGGGAUCAGCUUGCUGGUUCUGGAUGAGUGGUGAACGGGUGAGUAACACGUGAGUAACCUGCCCCCUUCUUCUGGAUAACCUCAUGAAAGUGUGGCUAAUACGGGAUAUUCUGCGCCUGCUGCAUGGUGGGUGUGGGAAAGAUAUUGUUUCGGUGGGGGAUGGGCUCGCGGCCUAUCAGCUUGUUGGUGGGGUGAUGGCCUACCAAGGCGGUGACGGGUAGCCGGCCGGAGAGGGUGGACGGUCACACUGGGACGGAGACACGGCCCAGACUCCUACGGGCGGCAGCAGUGGGGAAUAUUGCACAAGGGGCGCAAGCCUGAUGCAGCGACGCCGCGUGAGGGAUGGAGGCCUUCGGGUUGUGAACCUCUUUCGCCAGUGAAGCAGGCCUGUCCCUUGUGCGUGGGUUGACGGUAGCUGGAUAAGAAGCGCCGGCUAACUACGUG
RNAcentral lists this ribosomal RNA (489 nucleotides) under uncultured bacterium. Its description in RNAcentral is "partial 16S ribosomal RNA". It matches the Rfam family "Bacterial small subunit ribosomal RNA", at positions 28 to 507 of the family's 1533-position model. The record is from RNAcentral.